RNAcentral lists this ribosomal RNA (361 nucleotides) under Bacillus cereus. RNAcentral's name for it is "bacterial SSU rRNA". It matches the Rfam family "Bacterial small subunit ribosomal RNA", at positions 337 to 690 of the family's 1533-position model. Lineage: Bacteria; Bacillati; Bacillota; Bacilli; Caryophanales; Bacillaceae. The record is from RNAcentral.
UCCUACGGGAGGCAGCAGUGGGGAAUAUUGGACAAUGGGCGAAAGCCUGAUCCAGCCAUGCCGCGUGUGUGAAGAAGGUCUUCGGAUUGUAAAGCACUUUAAGUUGGGAGGAAGGGUUGUAGAUUAAUACUCUGCAAUUUUGACGUUACCGACAGAAUAAGCACCGGCUAACUCUGUGCCAGCAGCCGCGGUAAUACAGAGGGUGCAAGCGUUAAUCGGAAUUACUGGGCGUAAAGCGCGCGUAGGUGGUUCGUUAAGUUGGAUGUGAAAUCCCCGGGCUCAACCUGGGAACUGCAUCCAAAACUGGCGAGCUAGAGUAUGGUAGAGGGUGGUGGAAUUUCCUGUGUAGCGGUGAAAUGCG